UACGUAGGGGGCAAGCGUUAUCCGGAAUUACUGGGUGUAAAGGGAGCGUAGGCGGCACGCCAAGCCAGAUGUGAAAGCCCGAGGCUUAACCUCGUGGAUUGCAUUUGGAACUGGCGAGCUAGAGUACAGGAGAGGAAAGCGGAAUUCCUAGUGUAGCGGUGAAAUGCGUAGAUAUUAGGAAGAACACCAGUGGCGAAGGCGGCUUUCUGGACUGAAACUGACGCUGAGGCUCGAAAGCGUGGGGAGCAAACAGG
Molecule: ribosomal RNA, 254 nt
Filed under: Anaerotignum lactatifermentans
Lineage: Bacteria; Bacillati; Bacillota; Clostridia; Lachnospirales; Anaerotignaceae
Description: partial 16S ribosomal RNA
Rfam family: Bacterial small subunit ribosomal RNA
Source: RNAcentral